GUAAGGGGAAGAAGAAAUCCGAUUCUCAUAGCUUCGUCUCCAGACCAGAUGAAGCUACCGGUUUUUUUCCGAAGCUCUUUUGCUCAAAGAGAAGAAAGUUCAUGAAGAUGGAACAAUUCUCCCUAAAUUCGCAGAUGAUGAUGAAAGAGAACUUUUUAAACAACUGAAUCUUUAGCUGGAAAGUGAUCCUGGACUGAAGAGGAUGAGACACUGUCAAAUUGUAUACUUGAUUCAUGAAGAUCACGAUGAAGAGGUGGAGAAUGUAAACUCCAAAGUCAGAGGCAUCAUUCGAUGAAAACUCGUUGUUCAUGAUAGCCAUGUUAAGAGAAUACGGAUUAGAAUAGUCAUUUUUCUACUGGAUGAGUUUGACUUGUUUACACAAGUAUAAUA
Impatiens glandulifera is the source of this 390-nucleotide long non-coding RNA. RefSeq lists it as uncharacterized. Lineage: Eukaryota; Viridiplantae; Streptophyta; Magnoliopsida; Ericales; Balsaminaceae. The record is from RefSeq and is a predicted model, not a curated record. The transcript has 6 exons.